AGGGAAUCUUCGGCAAUGGGGGCAACCCUGACCGAGCAACGCCGCGUGAGUGAAGAAGGUUUUCGGAUCGUAAAGCUCUGUUGUAAGAGAAGAACGAGUGUGAGAGUGGAAAGUUCACACUGUGACGGUAACUUACCAGAAAGGGACGGCUAACUACGUGCCAGCAGCCGCGGUAAUACGUAGGUCCCGAGCGUUAUCCGGAUUUAUUGGGCGUAAAGCGAGCGCAGGCGGUUAGAUAAGUCUGAAGUUAAAGGCUGUGGCUUAACCAUAGUACGCUUUGGAAACUGUUUAACUUGAGUGCAGAAGGGGAGAGUGGAAUUCCAUGUGUAGCGGUGAAAUGCGUAGAUAUAUGGAGGAACACCGGUGGCGAAAGCGGCUCUCUGGUCUGUAACUGACGCUGAGGCUCGAAAGCGUGGGGAGCAAACAGGAUUAGAUACCCUGGUAGUCCACGCCGUAAACGAUGAGUGCUAGGUGUUGGAUCCUUUCCGGGACUCAGUGCCGCAGCUAACGCAUUAAGCACUCCGCCUGGGGAGUACGACCGCAAGGUUG
Molecule: ribosomal RNA, 549 nt
Filed under: uncultured bacterium
Lineage: Bacteria
Description: bacterial SSU rRNA
Rfam family: Bacterial small subunit ribosomal RNA
Source: RNAcentral